GAUGAACGCUAGCGAUAGGCCUAACACAUGCAAGUCGAGGGGCAGCACAUGAGUAGCAAUACGAUGGUGGCGACCGGCGCACGGGUGAGUAGCACGUAUGCAACCUACCUUUAACAGGGGAAUAACCCGUUGAAAAACGGACUAAUACUCCAUAACACAGGGGUCCCGCAUGGGAAUAUUUGUUAAAGAUUAAUCGGUUGAAGAUGGGCAUGCGUUCCAUUAGCUUGUUGGUGAGGUAACGCCUCACCAAGGCCAGGAUGGAUAGGGAAACUGAGAGUUUUACCCCCAACACUGGAACUGAGAAACGGUCAAGAUUCCUACGGGAGGAAGCAGUGAGGAAUAUUGGACAAUGGAGGCAACUCUGAACCAGCCAAGUCGCGUGAAGGAUGAAGGUCUUAUGGUUUGUAAACUUCUUUUGCAAGGGAAUAAAGUGGGGGACGUGUCCUCUUUUGCAUGUACCUUGCGAAUAAGGAUCGGCUAACUCCGUGCCAGCCGCCGCGGUAA
RNAcentral lists this ribosomal RNA (504 nucleotides) under uncultured bacterium. Its description in RNAcentral is "partial 16S ribosomal RNA". It matches the Rfam family "Bacterial small subunit ribosomal RNA", at positions 28 to 523 of the family's 1533-position model. The record is from RNAcentral.